AAUCCAUGAAUAGGACAUUUCCUAAGCAAGUCAUUGAACCUUUCCCAUGCUUCGUAUAAUGUUUCAUUCUCUAGUUUCCUAAAGGAUGUUAUGUCAUUUUUCAAUUU
This is a non-coding RNA of Gossypium raimondii (Peruvian cotton), 107 nucleotides long. The record is from Rfam. Lineage: Eukaryota; Viridiplantae; Streptophyta; Magnoliopsida; Malvales; Malvaceae.